This 2904-nucleotide ribosomal RNA is filed under the name Escherichia coli. RNAcentral's name for it is "23S ribosomal RNA". It matches the Rfam family "Bacterial large subunit ribosomal RNA". Lineage: Bacteria; Pseudomonadati; Pseudomonadota; Gammaproteobacteria; Enterobacterales; Enterobacteriaceae. The record is from RNAcentral.
GGUUAAGCGACUAAGCGUACACGGUGGAUGCCCUGGCAGUCAGAGGCGAUGAAGGACGUGCUAAUCUGCGAUAAGCGUCGGUAAGGUGAUAUGAACCGUUAUAACCGGCGAUUUCCGAAUGGGGAAACCCAGUGUGUUUCGACACACUAUCAUUAACUGAAUCCAUAGGUUAAUGAGGCGAACCGGGGGAACUGAAACAUCUAAGUACCCCGAGGAAAAGAAAUCAACCGAGAUUCCCCCAGUAGCGGCGAGCGAACGGGGAGCAGCCCAGAGCCUGAAUCAGUGUGUGUGUUAGUGGAAGCGUCUGGAAAGGCGCGCGAUACAGGGUGACAGCCCCGUACACAAAAAUGCACAUAUUGUGAGCUCGAUGAGUAGGGCGGGACACGUGGUAUCCUGUCUGAAUAUGGGGGGACCAUCCUCCAAGGCUAAAUACUCCUGACUGACCGAUAGUGAACCAGUACCGUGAGGGAAAGGCGAAAAGAACCCCGGCGAGGGGAGUGAAAAAGAACCUGAAACCGUGUACGUACAAGCAGUGGGAGCACGCUUAGGCGUGUGACUGCGUACCUUUUGUAUAAUGGGUCAGCGACUUAUAUUCUGUAGCAAGGUUAACCGAAUAGGGGAGCCGAAGGGAAACCGAGUCUUAACUGGGCGUUAAGUUGCAGGGUAUAGACCCGAAACCCGGUGAUCUAGCCAUGGGCAGGUUGAAGGUUGGGUAACACUAACUGGAGGACCGAACCGACUAAUGUUGAAAAAUUAGCGGAUGACUUGUGGCUGGGGGUGAAAGGCCAAUCAAACCGGGAGAUAGCUGGUUCUCCCCGAAAGCUAUUUAGGUAGCGCCUCGUGAAUUCAUCUCCGGGGGUAGAGCACUGUUUCGGCAAGGGGGUCAUCCCGACUUACCAACCCGAUGCAAACUGCGAAUACCGGAGAAUGUUAUCACGGGAGACACACGGCGGGUGCUAACGUCCGUCGUGAAGAGGGAAACAACCCAGACCGCCAGCUAAGGUCCCAAAGUCAUGGUUAAGUGGGAAACGAUGUGGGAAGGCCCAGACAGCCAGGAUGUUGGCUUAGAAGCAGCCAUCAUUUAAAGAAAGCGUAAUAGCUCACUGGUCGAGUCGGCCUGCGCGGAAGAUGUAACGGGGCUAAACCAUGCACCGAAGCUGCGGCAGCGACGCUUAUGCGUUGUUGGGUAGGGGAGCGUUCUGUAAGCCUGUGAAGGUGUGCUGUGAGGCAUGCUGGAGGUAUCAGAAGUGCGAAUGCUGACAUAAGUAACGAUAAAGCGGGUGAAAAGCCCGCUCGCCGGAAGACCAAGGGUUCCUGUCCAACGUUAAUCGGGGCAGGGUGAGUCGACCCCUAAGGCGAGGCCGAAAGGCGUAGUCGAUGGGAAACAGGUUAAUAUUCCUGUACUUGGUGUUACUGCGAAGGGGGGACGGAGAAGGCUAUGUUGGCCGGGCGACGGUUGUCCCGGUUUAAGCGUGUAGGCUGGUUUUCCAGGCAAAUCCGGAAAAUCAAGGCUGAGGCGUGAUGACGAGGCACUACGGUGCUGAAGCAACAAAUGCCCUGCUUCCAGGAAAAGCCUCUAAGCAUCAGGUAACAUCAAAUCGUACCCCAAACCGACACAGGUGGUCAGGUAGAGAAUACCAAGGCGCUUGAGAGAACUCGGGUGAAGGAACUAGGCAAAAUGGUGCCGUAACUUCGGGAGAAGGCACGCUGAUAUGUAGGUGAGGUCCCUCGCGGAUGGAGCUGAAAUCAGUCGAAGAUACCAGCUGGCUGCAACUGUUUAUUAAAAACACAGCACUGUGCAAACACGAAAGUGGACGUAUACGGUGUGACGCCUGCCCGGUGCCGGAAGGUUAAUUGAUGGGGUUAGCGCAAGCGAAGCUCUUGAUCGAAGCCCCGGUAAACGGCGGCCGUAACUAUAACGGUCCUAAGGUAGCGAAAUUCCUUGUCGGGUAAGUUCCGACCUGCACGAAUGGCGUAAUGAUGGCCAGGCUGUCUCCACCCGAGACUCAGUGAAAUUGAACUCGCUGUGAAGAUGCAGUGUACCCGCGGCAAGACGGAAAGACCCCGUGAACCUUUACUAUAGCUUGACACUGAACAUUGAGCCUUGAUGUGUAGGAUAGGUGGGAGGCUUAGAAGUGUGGACGCCAGUCUGCAUGGAGCCGACCUUGAAAUACCACCCUUUAAUGUUUGAUGUUCUAACGUUGACCCGUAAUCCGGGUUGCGGACAGUGUCUGGUGGGUAGUUUGACUGGGGCGGUCUCCUCCUAAAGAGUAACGGAGGAGCACGAAGGUUGGCUAAUCCUGGUCGGACAUCAGGAGGUUAGUGCAAUGGCAUAAGCCAGCUUGACUGCGAGCGUGACGGCGCGAGCAGGUGCGAAAGCAGGUCAUAGUGAUCCGGUGGUUCUGAAUGGAAGGGCCAUCGCUCAACGGAUAAAAGGUACUCCGGGGAUAACAGGCUGAUACCGCCCAAGAGUUCAUAUCGACGGCGGUGUUUGGCACCUCGAUGUCGGCUCAUCACAUCCUGGGGCUGAAGUAGGUCCCAAGGGUAUGGCUGUUCGCCAUUUAAAGUGGUACGCGAGCUGGGUUUAGAACGUCGUGAGACAGUUCGGUCCCUAUCUGCCGUGGGCGCUGGAGAACUGAGGGGGGCUGCUCCUAGUACGAGAGGACCGGAGUGGACGCAUCACUGGUGUUCGGGUUGUCAUGCCAAUGGCACUGCCCGGUAGCUAAAUGCGGAAGAGAUAAGUGCUGAAAGCAUCUAAGCACGAAACUUGCCCCGAGAUGAGUUCUCCCUGACUCCUUGAGAGUCCUGAAGGAACGUUGAAGACGACGACGUUGAUAGGCCGGGUGUGUAAGCGCAGCGAUGCGUUGAGCUAACCGGUACUAAUGAACCGUGAGGCUUAACCUU